Molecule: non-coding RNA, 47 nt
Filed under: Bradyrhizobium elkanii
Lineage: Bacteria; Pseudomonadati; Pseudomonadota; Alphaproteobacteria; Hyphomicrobiales; Nitrobacteraceae
Description: Guanidine-II sequence
Rfam family: Guanidine-II riboswitch aptamer (mini-ykkC)
About the family: Simpler in structure and has fewer highly conserved nucleotide positions than the ykkC-yxkD leader. Despite this each of its two stem-loop structures directly bind free guanidine.
Source: RNAcentral
GGAAGGACGACCUUCUCCUCACCAUCCCAUCCGCGGGGACGACCCUG